AAGAGUUGCAAACUCCCACAAACCAUCGCGAACGUUACCCAGACGUCGUUGCUUCGGCGGGCUCGCCCGCCGGGGGGACGCUACCAGACUCUUGCAGUUCUUCGGCCUCUCUGAGUAUGAUUUUUUAAAUAAGUCA
RNAcentral lists this unclassified non-coding RNA (136 nucleotides) under soil metagenome. RNAcentral's name for it is "partial internal transcribed spacer 1". The record is from RNAcentral.